GACUUGUUAGCCUAGUUGGUAAAGGCAGCACUUCUAGUAUAGUGCCUUAGCUUCUAGCUAAGGUCGCUGGUUCUGAUCCUGCCCAAGUUG
Puccinia sorghi is the source of this 90-nucleotide non-coding RNA. The record is from the annotation of a GenBank genome assembly. Lineage: Eukaryota; Fungi; Basidiomycota; Pucciniomycetes; Pucciniales; Pucciniaceae.